RNAcentral lists this ribosomal RNA (253 nucleotides) under uncultured bacterium. RNAcentral's name for it is "partial 16S ribosomal RNA". It matches the Rfam family "Bacterial small subunit ribosomal RNA", at positions 524 to 776 of the family's 1533-position model. The record is from RNAcentral.
UACGAACCGUACAAACGUUAUUCGGAAUCACUGGGCUUAAAGGGUGCGUAGGCGGCCAUGUAAGUGAGGUGUGAAAUCCCUCGGCUCAACCGAGGAACUGCGCUUCAUACUGCAUGGCUUGAGGGAGACAGGGGUAAGCGGAACUGAUGGUGGAGCGGUGAAAUGCGUUGAUAUCAUCAGGAACACCGGUGGCGAAAGCGGCUUACUGGGUCUCUUCUGACGCUGAGGAACGAAAGCUAGGGUAGCGAACGGG